This 65-nucleotide transfer RNA is filed under the name Stheneboea repudiosa. Its description in RNAcentral is "tRNA-Arg". The record is from RNAcentral. Lineage: Eukaryota; Metazoa; Arthropoda; Insecta; Phasmatodea; Lonchodidae.
AAAUAAGAAGCAAUUAAGCAUAUUAGUUUCGACCUAAUAAUAGAUAAAAAUUUUAUCCUUAUUUA